Molecule: long non-coding RNA, 134 nt
Filed under: Phascolarctos cinereus (koala)
Lineage: Eukaryota; Metazoa; Chordata; Mammalia; Diprotodontia; Phascolarctidae
Description: lncRNA (ENSPCIG00000034164.1)
Source: RNAcentral
CAGGGCGCUCUGGAGUCUGUCAGUUAUGAGUGACCCAAACAGUACAACAGUGGAUGACGGUCCCAGGCCUUUAUCCUUGUUGAUUCCAGUCUGAAUUUUCCCCAGAAUCAUAAGGAACCUUAGCAGUGAUCUAA